GGACCGUCAGCUCCUGCCGGCCGGGCCCGGUGCUCAGCCCGCCGCUCUGAAGCCGGAACGCUACCUUAGACGCAGAUGAGGAAGUACACCUGGAUGGAAUUUAGGAGUACGUAAGAAGAUACGGUAUUGGUCCACACAGAAUAAAAAAAAAGAUAAAUUGGACUUAGCUCAAAGCUCUCUAUUACUUUUGGAUAACAUUGUUUAUCUUUUGUUUAAAAAAAAUGUGUGUGUUUCCUUAAUAUCUUGGUUUUGAAAUUGCUAUUGUUUAGAUUUGCAGCUAAAAAAGAAGUCUUGAGUAACCCAACCAUCAAUUAUUGGUUGAGUAGUAAAAACUAUUGAAUGUAGUCUUUGUUUACAAUCCUGGGUAAUUAGUGCUCCCUCUCUUCUGUUAUUAACUCUACAUUUCAUAUAAACUAGUCAGAGCUGGUACAAAUAG
This is a long non-coding RNA of Miniopterus natalensis, 436 nucleotides long. RefSeq lists it as uncharacterized. The record is from RefSeq and is a predicted model, not a curated record. Lineage: Eukaryota; Metazoa; Chordata; Mammalia; Chiroptera; Miniopteridae.